Molecule: long non-coding RNA, 385 nt
Filed under: Gossypium barbadense (sea-island cotton)
Lineage: Eukaryota; Viridiplantae; Streptophyta; Magnoliopsida; Malvales; Malvaceae
Description: long non-coding RNA (GBAR_LNC004040)
Source: RNAcentral
CUCUUCUUCUUCAAGGAGCUUCACUAUGGAAGGGUCCAUCACAAGUUAUACCUGCAACCGGCUGCCGUUCUACCUCGCCGGCUGCUCAGCGGGAAUCGUUCAGCUUACAGGAUUAUAAUUAAGUACAGUAUUUCAAAAAAAAAAGGAAAAAAAUUCCAGAACAAAGAAAAACCUCUUCUUCUUCAAGGAGCUUCACUAUGGAAGGGUCCAUCACAAGUUAUACCUGCAACCGGCUGCCGUUCUGCCUCGCAGGCUGCUCAGCGGGAAUCGUUCAGCUUACAGGAUUAUAAUUAAGUACAGUAUUUCAAAAAAAAAAAAGGAUACUGAGAAGAAAAAAAUAUUUGAGAACUUCACAAAAGGUGAAAGAGUAGUUGUAUACAGUGAA